RNAcentral lists this ribosomal RNA (861 nucleotides) under Acinetobacter bereziniae. RNAcentral's name for it is "bacterial SSU rRNA". It matches the Rfam family "Bacterial small subunit ribosomal RNA", at positions 61 to 914 of the family's 1533-position model. Lineage: Bacteria; Pseudomonadati; Pseudomonadota; Gammaproteobacteria; Moraxellales; Moraxellaceae. The record is from RNAcentral.
GUCGAGCGGGGGAGAUUGCUUCGGUAAUUGACCUAGCGGCGGACGGGUGAGUAAUACUUAGGAAUCUGCCUAUUAAUGGGGGACAACAUCUCGAAAGGGAUGCUAAUACCGCAUACGCCCUACGGGGGAAAGCAGGGGAUCACUUGUGACCUUGCGUUAAUAGAUGAGCCUAAGUCGGAUUAGCUAGUUGGUGGGGUAAAGGCCUACCAAGGCGACGAUCUGUAGCGGGUCUGAGAGGAUGAUCCGCCACACUGGGACUGAGACACGGCCCAGACUCCUACGGGAGGCAGCAGUGGGGAAUAUUGGACAAUGGGGGGAACCCUGAUCCAGCCAUGCCGCGUGUGUGAAGAAGGCCUUAUGGUUGUAAAGCACUUUAAGCGAGGAGGAGGCUCUUUUGGUUAAUACCCAAGAUGAGUGGACGUUACUCGCAGAAUAAGCACCGGCUAACUCUGUGCCAGCAGCCGCGGUAAUACAGAGGGUGCGAGCGUUAAUCGGAUUUACUGGGCGUAAAGCGUGCGUAGGCGGCUUUUUAAGUCGGAUGUGAAAUCCCCGAGCUUAACUUGGGAAUUGCAUUCGAUACUGGGAAGCUAGAGUAUGGGAGAGGAUGGUAGAAUUCCAGGUGUAGCGGUGAAAUGCGUAGAGAUCUGGAGGAAUACCGAUGGCGAAGGCAGCCAUCUGGCCUAAUACUGACGCUGAGGUACGAAAGCAUGGGGAGCAAACAGGAUUAGAUACCCUGGUAGUCCAUGCCGUAAACGAUGUCUACUAGCCGUUGGGGUCUUUGAGACUUUAGUGGCGCAGCUAACGCGAUAAGUAGACCGCCUGGGGAGUACGGUCGCAAGACUAAAACUCAAAUGAAUUGAC